CCGCCGUCCCCAACCAGUUCUUCCCCAAAUCGAACCCUCGAGAGCCCUCCUCCUCCACCGACGCCGCCGCCGCCGACACUCCCUCUGCCCUCGACCGCGCCCUCCACCACCGACCCCUCUGCCCUCGAACGCGCCCUCCACCAUCGACUCCCUCCGCUGACCUGUGCGACCCCCACCCAUAUCGAUGACGCCGCUGCGUAGAGGUCAACCUCGCCUCCCUCCUCACGCCUCUGGUUUCGCUCCCUUCGGCACCGCCACAAGGGCUGGUCAACGGGGCCGGUGCGUCGAGGUCGACGUCGCCUUUCUCCCCACCACGUCUCCCACCACCCUGACGACGAGUGCGGUGUCUGCUCCCCACUACGCUAGUACAACAUGGUGCUCAGAUCUGUCAUGGAGGAAACGCGAUGCAGGUGCUACCAGUGAAAGGAUUGGGGAUUGGUUCUAGCAGUUGUAGGUUUGUUUGGAAUUCAUAAUGCUCAUGAUUUGCAAAGGCUAUCAGCCAGGUUAUUGUACACAUACUCUUGUAUUUCAUUUUCUUAUCUUAAUAAGUUAAUAUGCAUGUAUAUGUGCCUAUGAUUUGUAAAAUGUAAUGUUCUUCUAUCCAUCCAAUUUUAGCGAUGUGGACGGGUCUUUGUUUAUUCAGGUUCAGACAUUGCACAACUGAAGGCAAGUGUUUCACAGCUUGAGAAAGUUUACUCACUAAUGGCUGACUGUAUACAACUCUAGAAAGUUUCUUGUGCUAGCAUCUACAAGAACUAAAUUAUAGACAUGAGUGCUGAUUUGAUAUUGAAAAUUGCUCUACAAAAUUAACUACUUUUACUUCCCUGAUUUAUCAUCUAUCGAAUUGUUUCAUAGCAGUUCAGUGGUGCCCUAUCUGAAUUCUCAACCUGCAUGAAACAUUGCACUGGGCAGAAAAUAAUUGUAGAAAGGAAUGUCGUAAGUGGCUGGCACUGCCAUCAGGCUAUCACACACUGCACUAAAUUGGGCUUGUUGGACCAUGCAGGGCAUCUGCACCAGAUAAUAGAAGCCCUGCAAGGGCCAACACGGCUAUGGUUUGCUUGUGAGGAGGGGUUGAUUUCUUGAGUUGCAGCCUGAAUGAUAUGUAUCUUAUGAUACAGAGGAAAGAAAAACAAUAUGUUUCUUACCUUGUUGGUUGGUUGUCUACACGCACAUUUCCUAUGAACCAUGCCUUAAUAAUCGAGCCGCCACUGUAAUCUCACAUCGUGAUCAGUCCUCACUUGAUGAAGUACCAUACCAACAAGUUAGUUAAUUUUCUGAAGUUCCUGGAAUAAUUUUUUGACGCUGCCUGCUUCGGUACACUUUAUUCUUAACCAUUGGUUGAUCUAAGCUCUUUUUUUACAAGAACACGUCGAUGCAUAGCAUUAAACGCUUGCCGAAAAGAGUCCACAGCUCCUUGCACUCAAGCAUUAUAUUGUCUGACCUCCUAAGGGUCGUUGAGGAGUUGGCAUAUAAUAGCAGCGACACAAAUGAUUAAAAGAUCGAUGUUUCAGUAAAUGUCAGAGGAUGUUACAUUAAAGUGGAAGAUGAUGCUAUUGCAGGUUGGGGUAUUGCUUGAGAUGAAUUGUUUCUAUUGGGAGAAAAAUAUGAAAGUGCUAGUACAUUGUAUAAGAACAUUGACACAUGUGACUGGGAGCCCAAAAGACUAGUAACACUAGUAGAAAACGGAGCUUUAAAACCGUUUUCUGGACGGUGUUCUAUGGAAUCUUCACAUACAGGAAACUAAAAUUUAUAUCAUAGGUUGGAAAUGUUCCUGAAGACGGGUUAAGAUACCUUGCCGUAACCAUAUGCUCUGAGCUCACCUAGAAGACCUUACACGCUUUACUCUUUGUGCUUUUUCCAUUCUGUACAACUUGGACGUCUUGAAACUGCAGAUACUAAAUUAUUAUGUAAUUCUUCACAUGUAAUCAGUGAAUUGCAUAUAUUGUAACCUUGUAAAUGUUUGAUGAACAGAAUUUAUAAUAUGAAUGUGAAGUACUUGUGCAGAUUCCUUCUGGUUUAUUUC
Molecule: long non-coding RNA, 2023 nt
Organism: Triticum aestivum (bread wheat)
Lineage: Eukaryota; Viridiplantae; Streptophyta; Magnoliopsida; Poales; Poaceae
Exons: 7
Source: RefSeq, a predicted model, not a curated record